GGAUGGGUGCCCGAGCGGCCGAAGGGACCGGUCUUGAAAACCGGCGACGGCGAAAGCCGUCCGUGGGUUCGAAUCCCACCUCAUCCG
RNAcentral lists this transfer RNA (87 nucleotides) under Planctomycetia bacterium. Its description in RNAcentral is "tRNA-Ser". It matches the Rfam family "tRNA". Rfam says of the family: Transfer RNA (tRNA) molecules are approximately 80 nucleotides in length. Their secondary structure includes four short double-helical elements and three loops (D, anti-codon, and T loops). Further hydrogen bonds mediate the characteristic L-shaped molecular structure. tRNAs have two regions of fundamental functional importance: the anti-codon, which is responsible for specific mRNA codon recognition, and the 3' end, to which the tRNAs corresponding amino acid is attached (by aminoacyl-tRNA synthetases). tRNAs cope with the degeneracy of the genetic code in two manners: having more than one tRNA (with a specific anti-codon) for a particular amino acid; and 'wobble' base-pairing, i.e. permitting non-standard base-pairing at the 3rd anti-codon position. Lineage: Bacteria; Pseudomonadati; Planctomycetota; Planctomycetia. The record is from RNAcentral.